Molecule: ribosomal RNA, 460 nt
Filed under: uncultured bacterium
Lineage: Bacteria
Description: partial 16S ribosomal RNA
Rfam family: Bacterial small subunit ribosomal RNA
Source: RNAcentral
CCUACGGGAGGCAGCAGUGAGGAAUAUUGGUCAAUGGGCGCGAGCCUGAACCAGCCAAGUCGCGUGAGGGAGGACGGCCCUACGGGUUGUAAACCUCUUUUGCCGGGGAGCAACGGGCGCCACGUGUGGCGCCACUGAGAGUACCCGGAGAAAAAGCAUCGGCUAACUCCGUGCCAGCAGCCGCGGUAAUAUGGAGGAUGCGAGCGUUAUCCGGAUUUAUUGGGUUUAAAGGGUGCGUAGGCGGAUCGUUAAGUCAGUGGUCAAAUUGAGGGGCUCAACCCCUUCCCGCCAUUGAAACUGGCGAUCUUGAGUGGAAGAGAAGUAUGCGGAAUGCGUGGUGUAGCGGUGAAAUGCAUAGAUAUCACGCAGAACCCCGAUUGCGAAGGCAGCAUACCGGCUUCCGACUGACGCUGAAGCACGAAAGCGUGGGGAUCGAACAGGAUUAGAUACCCCUGUAGUC